CUUCAGCACCUUUAAUUAUAAUUCAAUUCUCUGCUAUUAUUUCCAUUCAUCCAUUCCCAUCUGGAAUAUGUACCUAAAUUGUAUUUGUUUCUGCACGUGGCGCCUUGUUUGAAUUGAAUCCAUACUUCCCUUUCAUAGCGGCGAGCUGUUGUCAGACAUCAAUUGAAUACUCGAUAUGCCUGUUUACUAUCGAUAGUUCCAUUGUGCAUUUUUCAACACUAGUUACCACAGCAACACAAGUUUUUGCUAAUUUAACAAUUUAAUUGAAAAACAAUUGAAUUAGUAUAAUUCAAGUACUAAAAACGUAGGUAAACCGAUAAACAGCCAUGGCGGAAGCCGCAGCAUGCCAAUUGCAGUACGAGAACAAGGAGAACUAUGUAUAUUCUCUUGCUGCAAGCCGUCGUACGACUGGCUAUCUACUAGGUGGUGGGCCACGCGGAAUGACACAAGCGUGUCAUGGUCACUGUGCGUUAGAUACCCUGGGAAGAUAUCACAGAUGGCAAGGAUGCCAUAAAUACAUUGACUUUGAUUACAGAAAUUUUUUCCAAUGAAAAGGCUUCCAGCAAGGGAAUUCUCUGCGAGAAUUCGGUGGAAAUGCUGCUGGGCUACGAUUGGACUCUGUCAAGCAGCAGAAGCUGAAACUCAGGCCCAUGGCCAGGGUUAACGUAAGCGGAUUCGCGAAAAAAUACACGACGACUCGGCAAUAUCAAAGAUUCUGAGGAUGGGGAUAAGGAUGCGUCAACUGUAGAAGCUCGAUGCGCUGGCCUUGACCUAUCUGACUGUGCCUGCCAUAGAUCUGGCCCAGAUGGUAACUGAGAGCAACGAAUCAUAUUUACAAUAAUUGCCGCACCAUAGUGUCGAUAUUGUAAAGCGAUGCGCAGAGAAGAAAAUCUAAACCCUUUUCGGCAUCAUGGAGCUGGAGAAUGAGGAUCGUACGCGUCUCUGGCAGGUCUCUGAAACACAGAUGGCCAAUAGGGCCCGAUUCACCAACAAUGGGCCAUCUUGGGGGUGUAGCUGAAGACUGAAUGCCCGUCAAUGCCACCUUCUUCCCGCAGACGAGCGACUCCUGCGAACAGGAUUACAAGUUCUCCAUCGAAGUGACCGAUUUCCAAUCUGAGUUGAGACCAUGUCGGACUAGGUUAAGUCAAGGUUAAUCACGUUAAGUUUAGCAUAACACAAAUAUCAACAAAUUUUGUAAACAUGGAAUGGCGCAAGUUUUGUGUAACAAUAAAAAGUGUAGCAUGCUUUCAGGAUGCUACGAUAUUGUUUUCCAAUA
Molecule: long non-coding RNA, 1276 nt
Organism: Drosophila subobscura
Lineage: Eukaryota; Metazoa; Arthropoda; Insecta; Diptera; Drosophilidae
Exons: 4
Source: RefSeq, a predicted model, not a curated record